UGGCGAACGGGUGAGUAACACGUGGGUGAUCUGCCCUGCACUUCGGGAUAAGCCUGGGAAACUGGGUCUAAUACCGGAUAGGACCACAUUUUGGAUGGUGUGGUGGAAAGUUUUUCGGUGUGGGAUGAGCUCGCGGCCUAUCAGCUUGUUGGUGGGGUAAUGGCCUACCAAGGCGUCGACGGGUAGCCGGCCUGAGAGGGUGUACGGCCACAUUGGGACUGAGAUACGGCCCAG
This 234-nucleotide ribosomal RNA is filed under the name uncultured Actinomycetales bacterium. RNAcentral describes it as "partial 16S ribosomal RNA". It matches the Rfam family "Bacterial small subunit ribosomal RNA", at positions 96 to 334 of the family's 1533-position model. The record is from RNAcentral. Lineage: Bacteria; Bacillati; Actinomycetota; Actinomycetes; Actinomycetales.